RNAcentral lists this unclassified non-coding RNA (345 nucleotides) under soil metagenome. RNAcentral describes it as "partial contains 5.8S ribosomal RNA, internal transcribed spacer 2, and large subunit ribosomal RNA". The stretch from base 1 to 120 matches the Rfam family "5.8S ribosomal RNA", at positions 35 to 154 of the family's 154-position model. The record is from RNAcentral.
GAUGAAGAACGCAGUGAAAUGCGAUACGUAAUGUGAAUUGCAGAAUUCAGUGAAUCAUCGAGUCUUUGAACGCACAUUGCGCCCCCUGGUAUUCCGGGGGGCAUGCCUGUCCGAGCGUCAUUGCUGCCCUCAAGCACGGCUUGUGUGUUGGGCCUCCGUCCUCCUCCCGGGGGACGGGCCCGAAAGGCAGCGGCGGCACCGCGUCCGGUCCUCGAGCGUAUGGGGCUUCGUCACCCGCCCUUGUAGGCCCGGCCGGCGCUUGCCGACACAUCAAUCUUUUUUCCAGGUUGACCUCGGAUCAGGUAGGGAUACCCGCUGAACUUAAGCAUAUCAAUAAGCGGAGGA